AGUGAACGCUGGCGGCAUGGCUAAGACAUGCAAGUCGAACGAGAAUUACUGAAGGGUAACCGGAUGUAAGGAAAGUGGCGAACGGGUGCGUAACACGUGAACAAUCUACCCUAAAGUUGGGGAUAGCUCGGGGAAACUCGAAUUAAUACCGAAUGUGGUUCUUCCUCGCAUGUGGAAGAUACUAAAGCUUGUAAUGGCGCUUUAGGAGGGGUUCGCGGCCUAUCAGCUUGUUGGUGAGGUAACGGCUCACCAAGGCUAAGACGGGUAGCUGGUCUGAGAGGAUGAUCAGCCACACUGGAACUGAGACACGGUCCAGACACCUACGGGGUGGGCAGCAGUUUCGAAUCAUUCACAAUGGGCGAAAGCCUGAUGGUGCAAUGCCGCGUGGGGGAUGAAGGUCUUCGGAUCGUAAACCCCUGUCACCAAGGACUAAAAAACGGUGAAGAGCCGUCUUGAAUUAACUUGGAGAGGAAGCAGUGGCUAACUCCGUGCCAGCCGCCGCGGUAAU
RNAcentral lists this ribosomal RNA (508 nucleotides) under uncultured bacterium. RNAcentral's name for it is "bacterial SSU rRNA". It matches the Rfam family "Bacterial small subunit ribosomal RNA", at positions 29 to 524 of the family's 1533-position model. The record is from RNAcentral.